CCUACGGGUGGCAGCAGUAGGGAAUAUUCCACAAUGGAGGAAACCCUGAUGCCGCGACGCCGCGUGAGUGAAGAAGUAUUUCGGUAUGUAAAGCUCUGUCAGCAGGGAAGAACGUGACGGUACCUGAUUAAGAAGCCCCGGCUAAAUACGUGCCAGCAGCCGCGGUACUACGUAGGGUGCAAGCGUUAUCCUGAUUUACUGGGUGUAAAGGGAGCGUAGACGGCAGCACAAGUCUGGAGGGAAAUGCCGGGGCUUAACCCCGGAACUGCUUUGGAAACUGUGCAGCUAGAGUGCAGGAGAGGUAAGUGGAAUUCCGAGUGUAGCGGUGAAAUGCGUAGAUAUUAGGAGGAACACCAGUGGCGAAGGCGGCUUACUGGACUGUAACUGACGUUGAGGCUCGAAAGCGUGGGGAGCAAACAGGAUUAGAUACCCGAGUAGUC
RNAcentral lists this ribosomal RNA (440 nucleotides) under uncultured bacterium. RNAcentral describes it as "partial 16S ribosomal RNA". It matches the Rfam family "Bacterial small subunit ribosomal RNA", at positions 338 to 795 of the family's 1533-position model. The record is from RNAcentral.